RNAcentral lists this ribosomal RNA (253 nucleotides) under uncultured bacterium. RNAcentral's name for it is "partial 16S ribosomal RNA". It matches the Rfam family "Bacterial small subunit ribosomal RNA", at positions 524 to 776 of the family's 1533-position model. The record is from RNAcentral.
UACAGAGGUCUCAAGCGUUGUUCGGAUUCAUUGGGCGUAAAGGGCGCGUAGGCGGUCGCGUGUGUCUGCUGUGAAAGCACACGGCUCAACCGUGUGAAGUCGGUAGAAACUGCGGGACUUGAGGCUGGGAGAGGUUGGUGGAAUUCCCUGUGUAGCGGUGAAAUGCGUAGAUAUAGGGGAGAACACUCGUGGCGAAGGCGGCCAGCUGGACCAGCCCUGACGCUGAGGCGCGACAGCGUGGGGAGCAAACAGG